GCAGUCAACUCCAGGGAAGCAUCGGAGGACUUGAAGCUUCCCUUUCCAAGAGCUUUAUUGUUUGUUCGGGAGCCAAGGGCGACAUCAUUAUUCAUAUUCAUGGGAUAUUAAUUGCUACUGAGAAAGAAGAAGGAGCCAGAAAGCAGCAAGGCAAGCGGGGCGGGGCGAGAAAGACAGAGAGAAAGAGAGAGAACGAAGCGAAGCGAAGCCGAUAUCUCUUCUGUCUCCCGGCGCAAAGGGCACGCUAAUGCUUUGCUAGGGCAUCCCUUUUUCCACGCCCCGUGGUUCACGGCGAGGAGACCACCGUGAACGCGGGCGGCUGUGCAAGCCUGCGAAAGAGCGGAAGGGAGUCCCCUGGUGGCAGGGCACUGCACUGCAGAGCGCCUCGGGAGGACUCUGAUUCGCCGCCAGUUUCAGGCUAUAGAGGCUGGGAUGCAGCUUAAAGUCUCAUAGCUUUCUUUCCCACUUCCUUUUUCCAGCUGAAAUGAUUCGGACAGCGCUCUGGGGCUCUGCCACACAGCCGCUUGUAUUGCAUUGCUUAGCUUUCCCUCCCCUUCUCCCUUCCACUUCUCCUCCCCCUUUCUUCUUUUUCUCUCCCUUUCCCCCUAAAGAGAUGAUCAGCCAAGGUCUUUGCAGAUAGAUUUUAUCGAAACUUAAAGGGAAGCCAUCGCUGGGCACUUGCUGGCCAAUAAGUCAUUUUUAAUAGAGACAAAUCACUCGGAACGCCCAGGAGGCAAUAGCGGUGGCUACUGCUGGUGCCGCUGGCUGCUGCAAAAAGACGCGGUCGGUCGGGACAGCCUCAGGUCUCUUUCCUCUUGCAAGUUUCCUGCCAUCGUGACGUCCCUGGGCGCUUCCCUUCCGAAACCGGCGGCACCUGUUUCCACGGGACCUCUGUUCAUAUCAUGGAGCAACGGCGCCGAGGGGACCCUGUCCGAGCACCCGAGCCCGCGUAGCUGGCUUUGAUUGCUGUGCUGGUUUCUUUUCCUAUGGACUAUUACCAGAGAUCGACACCUGCGUUCGGACCCCGCAUGCAGCUGAAGCGAGCUGUCCUGGCUCUUUAAAGUAGAUGCCGGGUGGAUCUAUGGUUCUGGCGAAACAGAGAGGGAGCCCGAGCAGCGCGAAGGAAGUUUGAGCCGCGAUGAUGCAGCCCACAUACUGGUACGCGGUGCUUCUGCUGCAACCUGUGCUGUACCUGGUCACCUGUGCAAAUUUAAGCAGUGGUGGCAAAUCAGAACUUCUAAAAGCAGGCAGUUCCAAAUCCAUACUAAAGCACAUAUGGACAGAAAGCAGCAAAGACUUAUCGAUCAGCCGGCUGCUGUCACAGACUUUUCGCAGAAAAGAAAAUGAAACAGAUUUGAGUAUGCGGUAUGAUGCUCCUGAAACUUAUUCGGAGCAAGAUUUAUGGGAGUGGCUGAGGAACUCCACGGAUCUUCAAGAGCCUCGAUCCAGAGCAAAGCGACGGCCCAUUGUCAAGACUGGGAAGUUUAAGAAAAUGUUUGGCUGGGGCGAUUUUCAUUCCAAUAUCAAGACAGUCAAGCUAAACCUAUUGAUAACUGGGAAAAUAGUUGAUCAUGGCAACGGGACAUUCAGUGUUUACUUUAGGCAUAAUUCAACUGGCCAAGGGAAUGUAUCAGUGAGCUUGGUGCCCCCAACCAAAAUAGUAGAAUUUGACUUGGCACAACAAACAGUGAUUGAUGCCAAAGAUUCCAAGUCCUUCAACUGCCGCAUUGAGUAUGAAAAGGUUGACAAAGCCACCAAGAACACGCUCUGCAACUAUGAUCCUUCUAAAACAUGUUACCAGGAGCAAACCCAAAGUCACGUCUCAUGGCUCUGCUCCAAGCCCUUUAAAGUAAUCUGUAUUUACAUUUCCUUUUAUAGUACAGAUUAUAAACUAGUACAGAAAGUAUGCCCAGAUUACAACUACCAUAGCGACACACCAUACUUCCCUUCAGGUUGAAGCAGACCAUACAUCUAAGACUGAGGAUCCCAAGGAAUAAAAUAAAUCAAAUCAAAUAAAAGAGGUCAUAUGACAGGGCUAUUACCUCAAAGAAGAAGGCCACAACUUUUGCCCAGAAUGUGUCUACAUUUUGCUGCUGAUAUCAACUGGCUGCAAAUAUGUUAACGGAAGCCAAUCUAAUCAUUUCUGCCCAGUCAGCUCCAUUACAUAUCAGUCCAGUUGUAAAUCACUAUUUAAAUGAUGCCACAUAUGGUUUCUCUUUCUCUUUCCUUCUUCCUCUUUGCAUCUACAGAGGUACCUCUUAAGAUGACUUUCAUCGUCUGCUAUGUUCAGGAUCAUCUGUCAUCAAGCAAAACAGAUUAAUUAGCUAAAGAAUGGUUAUGGAAAUAGCCAAUGUUAUGGAAAUCUAAGUCUUGAAUACAUGAUAAUCAGUAAUCCCCAUUCAUGCAUUCCUUCACUUGAAGUAGCUGUACUGGUUAAAAACAAAACAAGGAAAUGAGGAAUCCAUUUUAUCAAUGUAGCUGUAAACUCCAUUUAAGAAGACAGCAUUCUGUACAAAGCAUAUAUUCAGCUAAAUUAUUGUUGAGAGCUAUACACUUACAACAUUUACAGUCUGUCUGUAUUUAGACUUUUUCUUUCCAGGUGAAAAAUAUUGAAAUGUACAUAAAAAUAAAAUACUGAAAUUCAGUUUCAAUAUGCAUUCUGUAGCUGGUGGUUUAAAUAGUACGGGAACACUGAUUAUUCAUUGAGAAUAUAUUCUUUUUCAAGUUGGUAAAUAUGCUGGAGAUUUUGAUGUUUGUUGUCCCACACUGCUGACCCAUAAAAGUUGAGUCCUAUAGAUCAGGUUUCUUAUCUUUAUAUGCAACUUUUCAAUCAACAAAUAAGUUACUAAUUCUCAAUGAUUUUAAUAAGAACUCCAAGGAUUUGAAGUCAAAUUCAACAUAAUGUCAAGAGGUCACUGUGUCAGACUAAGGUUGUACCAAUUUCCUAAAAAUAGAAGUGAGAUGCAAUGCAUGUUGGAAAUUUUGACCCUUGUCCUCUAUUGCCCCUGCCCCUCAAUACUUUUGACCUGGUAGGAGAAAUUUGCUGGAUGGGGAAAAAAAGUUGCAAGCAGAAAAAUAGCAGGGAGGGAAGAGAUCAGCAUCAUUUAUAGAGAUGCUACUUAAAAAGGUUUCAAGCAUUAUCUGCCAUUAGGACAGUAGCUUCAUAUUUCUGAUUUGGUCAUGAACCACAAAUGAAAUCCAUAGCAUCACAUUAUACAGAUUGCUUCAUAGUGUAGUAAGUCAUUACCUCAACUUAGGCAUUUAAAUCAAGAACAGGUAUGAUUAAGAUAGCUUCUGUUAACAAUAAACCCAAUCAUGUCCACAUAUUUGAAUUUUUUUUCACGUUUUUUUUCUACUUUCAUGGAAUUCCUAUAAAAUGGGACAGGUUGCGACCCAAAGUCUAUGAGUCAACUUCCCAGGCCAAAGUGUUUAUUGUGUCCAUCACAAACACUCUUGGCAAAAUGUUGAUUGGAAUCUUUUGAUAUAUUUACAAGAGACCUACAGUACAUUAGCAAGCAUUCCAUCAUUCCUGUUGAUUUAACAAUAUUUUUCUGUAAAUAAAUUUGUCAAUAAAAGAAAACCUAAAGAAGAAAGGAGAAUCCAUGAAUAAAUAUGUGUAAAAGGGUUUCUAAAAUUGGUUCUGCAACUACUGACCAUUUUCUUAAUCAUUCAUAUAUGUCAGGAUUAUCUAUGGGAGGAUUGAAAAAAGUCAAGAUGAUGCUUUCAAUCACAUGCUCAUGAUUCCCAUUGUUUGUUUAAAUACCAAUGAUUAAAAAUACAUCAAAUAAAAACACACAUACAGAUAUAUACAUAUUGUACAGGACAUAGUCAAUUGAGUUGAUCAUUCCAUGAUUUAACAUUCUGUGGGCAAAUGUUCUAAACCUGUGACCUGCGGACUCCUGGAGGGCAGCUGCAAUGUCAUUAGAGGGGACCCCAAAGGAUUGAAGAAAUGUUAUGAUUUAAAUCUUGACUUAAGUCAUGGGGAUUCAUGGCCAUGGUCUGUGGCCACAAAAGAUAUUUAAAAGAGGUCCAUGGUGAAUAAAUGAUUGAGAACCACCGCCCAACUGAAUUGACUAUGACCUUAAAGUUUCUACAAAUUAAAAAAAUAUAUUAAUGCUGUAGAAACAAAGAAUAAUUAAAUACAUAGAUUUUGUUCUGACCUUAUCCAUCCCAUGUUCUCUUUUUGGGAAGUACAACCAGUAGCAUGCCAGUCAAAGACCAUUUUAGCUCUUGGCCCUAGAAAAGUUGUACUGUCUAUAGCUAUAAUUCAAGUUGGCUUUUCUUUGAUUUCAACAAGUACACGGAAAGGUUAUUUGGACAAUUAAUGAUGGCUUGUUCCUUGAAUCUUUAAAGUGUUAUGUUGAAUGCUUCUGCUUGAAGUGAUAUGCAGCAUAUGACCUCACUCCUCUACCAUAUGAUAUGACAUUUAAUGAUCUAUCCACUAAUGUGAAUUGAACAAGAAUUGGUGCCCUGGGUCCACAAAAAAAAGAAGGACGGCUAUUAAAUAUGGAAGGUCUGGCUUACUGCAUUUGAAACUAAUGAAGUUGUGUGGAUUAGCAUGUGAAAAAAUGGGUAUAUUAUCAAUAAGUAAAGUGAAAUUCAAGCACUAAUUUUCACCAGAAAAAAAUAUGUCAAGAAUCUUAUGGAAGGUUAGGAUUCAGUGUUACAAGAAAUCAAUGAUCAAAAUCAUUUGGAACUUUAAUAGAUACCUGUUUCCAACUUCUUUCGUUUAGAUUUCCUAAUGUCUUUCAAAUAUAUUGAAUUGCAGUCACACAGUUGUCACCCUCUUUAUCUAGACCAGGAGUGUCAAACUCACAUCAUCACAGUGGCAUCACAUGAUGUGUCAGGACUUUCCUCCCCUUCGCUAA
Molecule: RNA transcript, 4868 nt
Organism: Thamnophis sirtalis
Lineage: Eukaryota; Metazoa; Chordata; Lepidosauria; Squamata; Natricidae
Gene: NXPH1
Gene name: neurexophilin 1
Source: RefSeq, a predicted model, not a curated record